Molecule: long non-coding RNA, 262 nt
Filed under: Prunus persica (peach)
Lineage: Eukaryota; Viridiplantae; Streptophyta; Magnoliopsida; Rosales; Rosaceae
Description: long non-coding RNA (PPER_LNC000376)
Source: RNAcentral
CGGCCUCAGUGGGUGGGCUUCACCCUAGAAGCCAACUGUUAUACCUUCCAUAGCUCUCUGUCUUAGCAUGCCCUAAUAUGAGAACUUGUCAUCAGUUGUUUUCUCUCACUAGAAUUAAUUGGCGACUGUUUUAUUGCUAGCUAGCUACAGAUUACCUUGCCAAGAUGUAAAGUUUGGUUUGACACAGAAUAAGUGGUCGGACGUUUACUUCAAAAAGUCCUAAGUAGCUAUAGCUAGCUAGCUAGCUCCCCCAUGAUCCAGC